CCUACGUGAGGCAGCAGUGGGGAAUAUUGGACAAUGGGCGAAAGCCUGAUCCAGCCAUGCCGCGUGUGUGAAGAAGGCCUUCGGGUUGUAAAGCACUUUCAGUGGGGAAGAAAGCCUUGGGGCUAAUACCCUCGAGGAAGGACAUCACCCACAGAAGAAGCACCGGCUAACUCCGUGCCAGCAGCCGCGGUAAUACGGAGGGUGCGAGCGUUAAUCGGAAUUACUGGGCGUAAAGCGCGCGUAGGCGGUCUGAUAAGCCGGUUGUGAAAGCCCCGGGCUCAACCUGGGAACGGCAUCCGGAACUGUCAGGCUAGAGUGCAGGAGAGGAAGGUAGAAUUCCCGGUGUAGCGGUGAAAUGCGUAGAGAUCGGGAGGAAUACCAGUGGCGAAGGCGGCCUUCUGGACUGACACUGACGCUGAGGUGCGAAAGCGUGGGUAGCAAACAGGAUUAGAUACCCGUGUAGUC
RNAcentral lists this ribosomal RNA (465 nucleotides) under Vreelandella stevensii. Its description in RNAcentral is "partial 16S ribosomal RNA". It matches the Rfam family "Bacterial small subunit ribosomal RNA", at positions 338 to 795 of the family's 1533-position model. The record is from RNAcentral. Lineage: Bacteria; Pseudomonadati; Pseudomonadota; Gammaproteobacteria; Oceanospirillales; Halomonadaceae.